CGGAUCGGAGCCUGCAACCCGACUCCGUGAAGCUGGAUUCGCUAGUAAUCGCGCAUCAGCCAUGGCGCGGUGAAUACGUUCCCGGGCCUUGUACACACCGCCCGUCAAGCCAUGGGAGCCGGGGGUGCUUGAAGUGCGUCGCCGCAAGGCGCGCCCUAGAGCAAAACCGGUGACUGGGGCUAAGUCGUAACAAGGUAAC
Molecule: ribosomal RNA, 199 nt
Filed under: uncultured bacterium
Lineage: Bacteria
Description: partial 16S ribosomal RNA
Rfam family: Bacterial small subunit ribosomal RNA
Source: RNAcentral